CACGUAGGCGGAUUAAUAAGUUUGAAGUGAAAUCCUAUAGCUUAACUAUAGAACUGCUUUGAAAACUGUUAAUCUAGAAUGUGGGAGAGGUAGAUGGAAUUUCUGGUGUAGGGGUAAAAUCCGUAGAGAUCAGAAGGAAUACCGAUUGCGAAGGCGAUCUACUGGAACAUUAUUGACGCUGAGAUGCGAAAGCGUGGGGAGCAAACA
Molecule: ribosomal RNA, 207 nt
Filed under: uncultured bacterium
Lineage: Bacteria
Description: partial 16S ribosomal RNA
Rfam family: Bacterial small subunit ribosomal RNA
Source: RNAcentral